GGUGAUCGAUGUGCCCGUCGACAGCGAGGGGCCAGUGGUGACUUCGUCAAUAUCGAAGAUUUGUCGGCUCAGCCUUUCGAAGGUGCUCAAUCAUAGGAGUAUGGUUAUUGCGUGCUUGUGUUCGUACGGACGAGUGUGCGUGUGUGUAUGUAAGCAUGUGCGUUUGUGCUUUGUGAUUCGAAAAAAAAGAACAAGUGGUCGAAUUAAAUGCUUGCUCGAGAAAUCUGAGGAGAAAUUAAGGUGGGGCCAUGGACCCUUUAACCUAGUGGAAGCCCCCUCAGUGCGUUCUUUGAUCCCCUGAGUGUGGAAUUCGUUGCCAGAAUCUUACAGGAUUUGGGGAAAAUGGCAGCUAACUCAAUACCAUAUUAAGUUAUUAUAUACUAUGUAAAUGGAUUUCUCAUGGAAAGAACAUGUCGUCUCUUGCCAAUGUGGCAAAUAGAUAGAGUAGUACAACAUCAUGGAGCCGGGGGCAAGCAAGUCAACCCCAUAGGGGGAAGAAGAACCUCAGAAGAGUCCAUUAUUAGGCUCAACGUCUUAGGGCAAGAGCCCAUGAAAUGGGUCGGGCCAGAGGACAAAGUUGUGUGUCUGCCAUGCAUGAUGGCCCAAUGCAACACACUAAUCAUGGUCGAUCAGACCACAACAUCCACUAGACCUCUCCCUUUUUGUAACCACC
Molecule: long non-coding RNA, 673 nt
Filed under: Setaria viridis
Lineage: Eukaryota; Viridiplantae; Streptophyta; Magnoliopsida; Poales; Poaceae
Description: long non-coding RNA (SVIR_LNC006414)
Source: RNAcentral